CUUUUAUGGUUCGCCCUUAAUCGGGCGAUUAAAAGGGAACCAUGUGCGAAUCAUGGACAGUCCCGCUGCUGUGUGUGGCAUUAUGGGCAAGCACUAUGUCACUGAGAGUUACGUGUUUUUAGCAAAGCCAUCGUUAGUUUUGCCAAUACGUAUAAUCUUGGGAAGACGCUUGUUUCCAGUCACGAGCCAGAAGACCUGCCUAUUAGCGU
Molecule: non-coding RNA, 209 nt
Filed under: uncultured Prevotella sp.
Lineage: Bacteria; Pseudomonadati; Bacteroidota; Bacteroidia; Bacteroidales; Prevotellaceae
Source: RNAcentral